Molecule: ribosomal RNA, 480 nt
Filed under: uncultured bacterium
Lineage: Bacteria
Description: partial 16S ribosomal RNA
Rfam family: Bacterial small subunit ribosomal RNA
Source: RNAcentral
AUGAACGCUGGCGGCGUGCUUAACACCUGCAAGUCGCACGAAGCACUUUAUUUGAUUUCCUUCGGGACUGAUUAUUUUGUGACUGAGUGGCGGACGGGUGAGUAACGCGUGGGUAACCUGCCUUGUACAGGGGGAUAACAGUUGGAAACGGCUGCUAAUACCGCAUAAGCGCACGACAUCGCAUGAUGCAGUGUGAAAAACUCCGGUGGUAUAAGAUGGACCCGCGUUGGAUUAGCUAGUUGGUGAGGUAACGGCCCACCAAGGCGACGAUCCAUAGCCGACCUGAGAGGGUGACCGGCCACAUUGGGACUGAGACACGGCCCAAACUCCUACGGGAGGCAGCAGUGGGGAAUAUUGCACAAUGGGCGAAGGCCUGAUGCAGCGACGCCGCGUGAGCGAAGAAGUAUUUCGGUAUGUAAAGCUCUAUCAGCAGGGAAGAUAAUGACGGUACCUGACUAAGAAGCACCGGCUAAAUACGUG